RNAcentral lists this ribosomal RNA (329 nucleotides) under uncultured soil bacterium. RNAcentral describes it as "bacterial SSU rRNA". It matches the Rfam family "Bacterial small subunit ribosomal RNA", at positions 26 to 387 of the family's 1533-position model. The record is from RNAcentral.
AGAACGAACGCUGGCGGCAGGCUUAACACAUGCAAGUCGAACGCCCCGCAAGGGGAGUGGCAGACGGGUGAGUAACACGUGGGAACGUGCCCAAAGGUACGGAACAACUCCGGGAAACUGGAGCUAAUACCGUAUGUGCCCGAAAGGGGAAGAUUUAUCGCCUUUGGAUCGGCCCGCGUCUGAUUAGCUAGUUGGCGGGUAAUGGCCCACCAAGGCGACGAUCAGUAGCUGGUCUGAGAGGAUGACCAGCCACACUGGGACUGAGACACGGCCCAGACUCCUACGGGAGCAGCAGUGGGGAAUAUUGGACAAGUGGGCGCAAGCCUGAU